CGUAGGGUGCGAGCGUUAAUCGGGAAUUACUGGGCGUAAAGCGUGCGCAGGCGGUUUUGUAAGACAGAUGUGAAAUCCCCGGGCUCAACCUGGGACCUGCAUUUGUGACUGCAAGGCUAGAGUACGGUAGAGGGGGAUGGAAUUCCGCGUGUAGCAGUGAAAUGCGUAGAUAUGCGGAGGAACACCGAUGGCGAAGGCAAUCCCCUGGACCUGUACUGACGCUCAUGCACGAAAGCGUGGGGAGCAAACAGGAUUAGAUACCCUGGUAGUCCACGCCCUAAACGAUGUCAACUGGUUGUUGGGUCUUUACUGACUCAGUAACGAAGCUAACGCGUGAAGUUGACCGCCUGGGGAGUACGGCCGCAAGGUUG
Molecule: ribosomal RNA, 371 nt
Filed under: uncultured organism
Description: bacterial SSU rRNA
Rfam family: Bacterial small subunit ribosomal RNA
Source: RNAcentral